Molecule: microRNA precursor, 59 nt
Filed under: Columba livia (rock pigeon)
Lineage: Eukaryota; Metazoa; Chordata; Aves; Columbiformes; Columbidae
Description: Cli-Mir-34-P2a_pre stem-loop
Source: RNAcentral
AGGCAGUGUAGUUAGCUGAUUGUAACCACUGCUCCGCAAUCACUACACUCACUGCCAUC